GAUGAACGCUGGCGGCGUGCCUAAUACAUGCCAGUCGAGCGAACAGAUGAGGAGCUUGCUCCUCUGACGUUAGCGGCGGACGGGUGAGUAACACGUGGAUAACCUACCUAUAAGACUGGGAUAACUUCGGGAAACCGGAGCUAAUACCGGAUAAUAUAUUGAACCGCAUGGUUCAAUAGUGAAAGACGGUUUUGCUGUCACUUAUAGAUGGAUCCGCGCCGCAUUAGCUAGUUGGUAAGGUAACGGCUUACCAAGGCAACGAUGCGUAGCCGACCUGAGAGGGUGAUCGGCUACACUGGAACUGAGACACGGUCCAGACUCCGACGGGAGGCAGCAGUAGGGAAUCUUCCGCAAUGGGCGAAAGCCUGACGGAGCAACGCCGCGUGAGUGAUGAAGGUCUUCGGAUCGUAAAACUCUGUUAUUAGGGAAGAACAAAUGUGUAAGUAACUAUGCACGUCUUGACGGUACCUAAUCAGAAAGCCACGGCUAACUACGUG
RNAcentral lists this ribosomal RNA (497 nucleotides) under uncultured bacterium. RNAcentral describes it as "partial 16S ribosomal RNA". It matches the Rfam family "Bacterial small subunit ribosomal RNA", at positions 28 to 507 of the family's 1533-position model. The record is from RNAcentral.